GAUGAACGCUGGCGGCGUGCUUAACACAUGCAAGUCGAACGAUGAAGCCCAGCUUGCUGGGUGGAUUAGUGGCGAACGGGUGAGUAACACGUGAGUAACCUGCCCUUAACUCUGGGAUAAGCCUGGGAAACUGGGUCUAAUACCGGAUAGGAGCGCCUACCGCAUGGUGGGUGUUGGAAAGAUUUAUCGGUUUGGAUGGACUCGCGGCCUAUCAGCUUGUUGGUGAGGUAAUGGCUCACCAAGGCGACGACGGGUAGCCGGCCUGAGAGGGUGACCGGCCACACUGGGACUGAGACACGGCCCAGACUCCUACGGGAGGCAGCAGUGGGGAAUAUUGCACAAUGGGCGAAAGCCUGAUGCAGCGACGCCGCGUGAGGGAUGACGGCCUUCGGGGUGUAAACCUCUUUCAGUAGGGAAGAAGCGAAAGUGACGGUACCUGCAGAAGAAGCACCGGCUAACUACGUG
This 465-nucleotide ribosomal RNA is filed under the name uncultured bacterium. Its description in RNAcentral is "partial 16S ribosomal RNA". It matches the Rfam family "Bacterial small subunit ribosomal RNA", at positions 28 to 507 of the family's 1533-position model. The record is from RNAcentral.